GAUGAAGAACGUAGCGAAAUGCGAUAAGUAAUGUGAAUUGCAGAAUUCAGUGAAUCAUCGAAUCUUUGAACGCACAUUGCGCCCGCCAGCAUUCUGGCGGGCAUGCCUGUUCGAGCGUCAUUUCAACCCUCGAGCCCCCCCGGGGGCCUCGGUGUUGGGGGACGGCACACCAGCCGCCCCCGAAAUGCAGUGGCGACCCCGCCGCAGCCUCCCCUGCGUAGUAGCACACACCUCGCACCGGAGCGCGGAGGCGGUCACGCCGUAACGCCCAACUUUCUUAGAGUUGACCUCGGAUCAGGUAGGAAUACCCGCUGAACUUAAGCAUAUCAAUAAGCGGAGGA
This 341-nucleotide unclassified non-coding RNA is filed under the name soil metagenome. RNAcentral describes it as "partial contains 5.8S ribosomal RNA, internal transcribed spacer 2, and large subunit ribosomal RNA". The stretch from base 1 to 120 matches the Rfam family "5.8S ribosomal RNA", at positions 35 to 154 of the family's 154-position model. The record is from RNAcentral.